CCGACGGUGAGAGACGAAAGCUAGGGGCACGAACCGGAUUAGAUACCCGGGUAGUCCUAGCCGUAAACGAUACUCGCUAGGUGUCGGCAACGGUGCGACCGUUGUCGGUGCCGUAGGGAAGCCGUGAAGCGAGCCACCUGGGAAGUACGGCCGCAAGGCUGAAACUUAAAGGAAUUGGCGGGGGAGCACCACAACGGGUGGAGCUUGCGGUUUAAUUGGAUUCAACGCCGGAAAUCUUACCGGGACCGACAGCAAUAUGAAGGCCAGGCUGAAGACUUUGCCGGAUUAGCUGAGAGGUGGUGCAUGGCCGUCGUCAGUUCGUACUGUGAAGCAUCCUGUUAAGUCAGGCAACGAGCGAGACCCACGCCCACAGUUGCC
Molecule: ribosomal RNA, 378 nt
Filed under: uncultured archaeon
Lineage: Archaea
Description: bacterial SSU rRNA
Rfam family: Archaeal small subunit ribosomal RNA
Source: RNAcentral